UUAACGCUGAGGUGUGAUGACGAGGCACUACGGUGCUGAAGUAACAAAUGCCCUGCUUCCAGGAAAAGCCUCUAAGCAUCAGGUAACAUCAAAUCGUACCCCAAACCGACACAGGUGGUCAGGUAGAGAAUACCAAGGCGCUUGAGAGAACUCGGGUGAAGGAACUAGGCAAAAUGGUGCCGUAACUUCGGGAGAAGGCACGCUGAUGGUAGGUGAAGCGACUUGCUCGUGGAGCUGAAAUCAGUCGAAGAUACCAGCUGGCUGCAACUGUUUAUUAAAAACACAGCACUGUGCAAACACGAAAGUGGACGUAUACGGUGUGACGCCUGCCCGGUGCCGGAAGGUUAAUUGAUGGGGUUAGCGGCAACGCGAAGCUCUUGAUCGAAGCCCCGGUAAACGGCGGCCGUAACUAUAACGGUCCUAAGGUAGCGAAAUUCCUUGUCGGGUAAGUUCCGACCUGCACGAAUGGCGUAAUGAUGGCCAGGCUGUCUCCACCCGAGACUCAGUGAAAUUGAACUCGCUGUGAAGAUGCAGUGUACCCGCGGCAAGACGGAAAGACCCCGUGAACCUUUACUAUAGCUUGACACUGAACACUGGUCCUUGAUGUGUAGGAUAGGUGGGAGGCUUUGAAGCGUGGACGCCAGUCUGCGUGGAGCCAACCUUGAAAUACCACCCUUUAAUGGCUGGUGUUCUAACGUAGACCCGUAAUCCGGGUUGCGGACAGUGUCUGGUGGGUAGUUUGACUGGGGCGGUCUCCUCCUAAAGAGUAACGGAGGAGCACGAAGGUUAGCUAAUCCUGGUCGGACAUCAGGAGGUUAGUGCAAUGGCAUAAGCUAGCUUGACUGCGAGAGUGACGGCUCGAGCAGGUGCGAAAGCAGGUCAUAGUGAUCCGGUGGUUCUGAAUGGAAGGGCCAUCGCUCAACGGAUAAAAGGUACUCCGGGGAUAACAGGCUGAUACCGCCCAAGAGUUCAUAUCGACGGCGGUGUUUGGCACCUCGAUGUCGGCUCAUCACAUCCUGGGGCUGAAGUAGGUCCCAAGGGUACGGCUGUUCGCCGUUUAAAGUGGUACGCGAGCUGGGUUUAGAACGUCGUGAGACAGUUCGGUCCCUAUCUGCCGUGGGCGCUGGAGAAUUGAGGGGGGCUGCUCCUAGUACGAGAGGACCGGAGUGGACGCAUCACUGGUGUUCGGGUUGUCAUGCCAAUGGCAUUGCCCGGUAGCUAAAUGCGGAAAAGAUAAGUGCUGAAAGCAUCUAAGCACGAAACUUGCCCCGAGAUGAGUUCUCCCUGACUCC
RNAcentral lists this ribosomal RNA (1292 nucleotides) under Lelliottia amnigena. RNAcentral's name for it is "partial 23S ribosomal RNA". It matches the Rfam family "Bacterial large subunit ribosomal RNA", at positions 1550 to 2822 of the family's 2925-position model. The record is from RNAcentral. Lineage: Bacteria; Pseudomonadati; Pseudomonadota; Gammaproteobacteria; Enterobacterales; Enterobacteriaceae.